GAAUAUUGCCCAAUGGGGGAAACCCUGAGGCAGCAACGCCGCGUGGAUGAAGAAGGCCUUCGGGUUGUAAAAUCCUUUUAACAGGGAAGAUAGUGACGGUACCUGAAGAAUAAGUCCCGGCUAACUACGUGCCAGCAGCCGCGGUAAAACGUAGGGGACAAGCGUUAUCCGGAUUUAUUGGGCGUAAAGCGCACGUAGGCGGCGAGGUAAGUUGAACGUGAAAGCUCCCGGCUUAACUGGGAGAGUGCGUGCAAAACUGCCUGGCUUGAGGCUGGAAGAGGAGCGUGGAAUUCCCGGUGUAGUGGUGGAAUGCGUAGAUAUCGGGAGGAACACCAGUGGCGAAAGCGACGCUCUGGUCCAGAACUGACGUUGAGGUGCGAAAGCGUGGGGAGCGAACGGG
This 400-nucleotide ribosomal RNA is filed under the name uncultured bacterium. Its description in RNAcentral is "bacterial SSU rRNA". It matches the Rfam family "Bacterial small subunit ribosomal RNA", at positions 359 to 776 of the family's 1533-position model. The record is from RNAcentral.